RNAcentral lists this ribosomal RNA (597 nucleotides) under uncultured marine eukaryote. RNAcentral describes it as "SSU rRNA". It matches the Rfam family "Eukaryotic small subunit ribosomal RNA", at positions 618 to 1220 of the family's 1831-position model. The record is from RNAcentral.
GUUAAAAAGCUCGUAGUUGGAUUUCGGAACCGGCCGAUUGGUCCGUCCUCUGGAUCGUGUACUGAUCGGUCUGUUCUUCUUCGCGAAGACCGCGUGUGCUCUUAACUGAGUGGGCGUGGGAUUCGCGACGUUUACUUUGAAAAAAUUAGAGUGUUCAAAGCAGGCAGUCGCUUGAAUAUCUCAGCAUGGAAUAAUAGAAUAGGACUUUGGUCUUAUUUUGUUGGUUUCCGAGACCGAAGUAAUGAUUAAUAGGGACAGUUGGGGGCAUUCGUAUUUCAUUGUCAGAGGUGAAAUUCUUGGAUUUAUGAAAGACGAACUUCUGCGAAAGCAUUUGCCAAGGAUGUUUUCAUUAAUCAAGAACGAAAGUUGGAGGCUCGAAGACGGUCAGAUACCGUCCUAGUUCCAACCAUAAACGAUGCCGUCUGCGGAUCGGAGGUCGCUCAUGUAAGGCUCCUUCGGCACGCUAUGAGAAAUCAAAGACUUCGGGUUCCGGGGGGAGUAUAUUCGCAAGAAUGAAACUUAAAGGAAUUGACGGAAGGGCACCACCAGGAGUGGAACCUGCGGUUUAAUUUGACUCAACACGGGAAAAACUCACCC